GGAGGGAAGGUGAUUGGUCCGUUCACUGUGAAGAAGGGUUACUCAAAUCAACAGUACGAGUUGUUCCGUUACAUUUUCUCUAGCGCCAAUGAUCCGAGUGAAGUGUUAGCCCAUUUUGGGAAGGUUGAGGUCGAGCGGAUGUAUUUCAAAUGCAUGAAACCGGAGACCGAUAUAUCACACAGUCUCAUUGAUUGCUUUGCUCAAAUCAUGAAUUUUCGAGAGAAGAAGCGCAACGGCAUUGGAACUAAGAGAACUUGGUUUAUGCCCACCAGA
Cannabis sativa is the source of this 273-nucleotide long non-coding RNA. RefSeq lists it as uncharacterized. Lineage: Eukaryota; Viridiplantae; Streptophyta; Magnoliopsida; Rosales; Cannabaceae. The transcript is spliced from 3 exons. The record is from RefSeq and is a predicted model, not a curated record.